UAGGGCAACCAAUCAAUGCCCAAAAUCACAUCAAAAUCCAUAAUAUCCAAUGACAUAAGAUUAGCCGGCAUAAUAAUACCCUCUACUAUCACUGGACAUCCUGAAUAUACCCGAUCCACAAAACAACUAUCCCCUCUAGGCAUAGAAAAUUCUAAAUUAUAUCCUAGAGGUGUAGGAUGAGGUUGUGUCACUUGAGCAAAUGUAUUAGAAAUAACAGAAUGCGUAGCACCAUAAUCAAUCAACACCCUAGCAAAAUGACCAAGAAUAUUUAACAUACCCAUGAUUAAAUUUGGAUUAUUCUGGGCAUCUUGCAGUGACAUGUUAUGGAUACGCCCCUGAUUCUGCUGU
RNAcentral lists this long non-coding RNA (348 nucleotides) under Malus domestica (apple). RNAcentral describes it as "long non-coding RNA (MDOM_LNC012392)". Lineage: Eukaryota; Viridiplantae; Streptophyta; Magnoliopsida; Rosales; Rosaceae. The record is from RNAcentral.